RNAcentral lists this small RNA (20 nucleotides) under Arabidopsis thaliana (thale cress). Its description in RNAcentral is "ATSL192700". The record is from RNAcentral. Lineage: Eukaryota; Viridiplantae; Streptophyta; Magnoliopsida; Brassicales; Brassicaceae.
CUUCUUCUUCUUCUGCAAUU